GUAUGCUAUAUUCUUUUUAAAAGUAACCAUGGCCGGGAUUUCAAGUUAAUCCAUUGUUGGGAAGAACUACGCAAAUGCACAAAAUGACAUCUUUCCAUCUAUGAACGACAAAACCGAGGAGAUGGUAGAAGAGGUAGGCCUGCAAAUUCUAGAAUACAGGCAUCAAACACUCUAUCCAGAAUGCCAUCAGUCAAUCUUUCUGCAUCUUCACAUCCAGGUUUGGAUGGCAUAGGCGAUUCUAACAAUAAUAUUAGCAUUCCUACAACCCCUACAUCUGGUACACCCAACACUGCUUCCAAAAAUUCACAGCCUCUUCACGUCCUUCCGGAAAGGCAUAUUGAAAGACCAUUAGGGCGGAAAUCUGCAAAGGAGAAACGUCGUCGUUCUGUGGGUACAAGCUCCCAAGCCUCUGAUGCUGCAAGUGAAAGAUUACAUUCAACCAUCUGUGCUUGGAAGCAUAAAUCUGAGUCAAGAUUAGAAUCAAUGAAACAAAUAAAUGAAGAGCAAUAGUUCCAUGCUAUUAAGUUUGCUAAGCUUGAGAAGAUUCAAAAGAGUAUACAAAUAACAAAAGAUCUUGUGAAUACUGAGAAGGAUUUGCUGUCCUUGAUUCCAGAACUCCCUACCGAUGAGGUCGCUGCUAAAGUAUUUGCUAGAAUGAGGCAGCUUGAUGAGUUGGACAAAGAGCACCAACGCAUUCGAGCUAUGGAAUUCUCACCUAGAGCAUCAGUAAGAAUUCGUGAUGAAAUGCAAGGGAAUAAUAUUAAUCCAUGCAACCUCGAGAGCAGGUUUGAUGAUGCUGAGUCAAUGGGGGAUCGUACUUGAACAACAAGUAUGAUCUGUUUGGAACAAACAUGCAUUUGUAAACAUGUGCUUGCAUGGUAUCCCUUCAUUAUUACUUGCACUAUUUGACAGCCUGUUAGUAAUGUUUGUAGUUAGCUUGAAGGAUUACAAUUGGGUGGAAGAAUGUACUUAUUUACUUGCACUAUUUCACAAGAUUAUGAAUUUGAAGAAUGACAAUAAAGGAUGAUGCAUGUUUGUAGUAUACUUGAUGGAUUUUGUAAAUUAUUGUACGAAAUAGCCAAACUUGUUUUGUGCUUUUGUUG
This is a long non-coding RNA of Tripterygium wilfordii, 1103 nucleotides long. RefSeq lists it as uncharacterized. The transcript has 2 exons. The record is from RefSeq and is a predicted model, not a curated record. NCBI's taxonomy places the organism in Eukaryota, Viridiplantae, Streptophyta, Magnoliopsida, Celastrales, Celastraceae.